This 253-nucleotide ribosomal RNA is filed under the name uncultured bacterium. Its description in RNAcentral is "partial 16S ribosomal RNA". It matches the Rfam family "Bacterial small subunit ribosomal RNA", at positions 524 to 776 of the family's 1533-position model. The record is from RNAcentral.
UACGGGGGGGGCAAGCGUUGUUCGGAAUUACUGGGCGUAAAGGGCUCGUAGGUGGCCAACUAAGUCAUACGUGAAAUCCCUCGGCUUAAUCGGGGAACUGCGUCUGAUACUGGAUGGCUUGAGGUUGGGAGAGGGAUGCGGAAUUCCAGGUGUAGCGGUGAAAUGCGUAGAUAUCUGGAGGAACACCGGUGGCGAAGGCGGGUCUCUGGGCCGAUACUGACGCUGAGGAGCGAAAGCGUGGGGAGCGAACAGG